This 73-nucleotide transfer RNA is filed under the name Ovis aries (sheep). It matches the Rfam family "tRNA". Rfam says of the family: Transfer RNA (tRNA) molecules are approximately 80 nucleotides in length. Their secondary structure includes four short double-helical elements and three loops (D, anti-codon, and T loops). Further hydrogen bonds mediate the characteristic L-shaped molecular structure. tRNAs have two regions of fundamental functional importance: the anti-codon, which is responsible for specific mRNA codon recognition, and the 3' end, to which the tRNAs corresponding amino acid is attached (by aminoacyl-tRNA synthetases). tRNAs cope with the degeneracy of the genetic code in two manners: having more than one tRNA (with a specific anti-codon) for a particular amino acid; and 'wobble' base-pairing, i.e. permitting non-standard base-pairing at the 3rd anti-codon position. Lineage: Eukaryota; Metazoa; Chordata; Mammalia; Artiodactyla; Bovidae. The record is from Rfam by way of RNAcentral.
UCCCUGGUGGUCCAGUGGUCAAGACUGCGUUUUUCCAAUGCAGGGGGCCCAGGUUCAAUCCCUGGUUAGGGAA